RNAcentral lists this ribosomal RNA (253 nucleotides) under uncultured bacterium. RNAcentral describes it as "partial 16S ribosomal RNA". It matches the Rfam family "Bacterial small subunit ribosomal RNA", at positions 524 to 776 of the family's 1533-position model. The record is from RNAcentral.
UACGGAGGAUGCAAGCGUUAUCCGGAAUUAUUGGGCGUAAAGCGUCCGCAGGUGGCACUUCAAGUCUGUCGUCAAAGACCGGGGCUUAACCCUGGAAAGGCGAUGGGAACUGAAAGGCUAGAGAGAGGUAGGGGUAGAGGGAAUUCCCAGUGUAGCGGUGAAAUGCGUAGAGAUUGGGAAGAACAUCGGUGGCGAAAGCGCUCUACUGGACCUCAUCUGACACUCAGGGACGAAAGCUAGGGGAGCGAAUGGG